CCGAGAAUAGGGGCUUCAGCCCCGAACCUCCCACCCAAUGCGUAUCUUACCACCGUUGCUUUGGCGGGCCCGCGGGUCGAAACCGCCGCCGGCCUUUCGGGGCUUGACGAGUGUCCGCCAGAGUCCACCCAAACCCGUCUGAAUUUGGUGCCGUCUGAGAAGCAAAUUUUUAAUGGCAAA
This 180-nucleotide unclassified non-coding RNA is filed under the name uncultured Lecanoromycetes. RNAcentral describes it as "sequence contains ITS1". The record is from RNAcentral. Lineage: Eukaryota; Fungi; Ascomycota; Lecanoromycetes.